This 650-nucleotide long non-coding RNA is filed under the name Struthio camelus australis. RNAcentral describes it as "lncRNA (ENSSCUG00000005822.1)". Lineage: Eukaryota; Metazoa; Chordata; Aves; Struthioniformes; Struthionidae. The record is from RNAcentral.
CAGAAAACUUUAUUUUGAUUCUUUUCAUUUUAAAAAUGAAAUCGGUGUUUUCAGUUUGAAUCAGUUUGGCAAAAACCUGAAAAAUAUUUUAGAAAUAUUUUGAAAAAUUGCCUACUCUUGUUGAGUUUCUUCGCAGAAAACAAUAUGCAUUUUUUAGAGGCGUGGACCAACCUUUUUCUUUCUCGAUAAAGAAAGCACAGAGAACCAAGGCUUUAUUUUUAUAGUAUCAAUGGCAUCAAAGCUCCUAGGUUAAUACAGCUGGAACGCACUGCCAGGUCUAAAAACCUCAGAACAGGGCAGCAGCAGCAGCAGCUGAGACCGUCAGAGAGCCCCUGAGAUUUGGAUCGCAAAUGUGGAUUAUUGCUUCAGGAUGAGUCAGAAUACACUGCAAGGAAACAUAGAGAAGAAUGCAACCUUUAGAAGAUUAUGCCUAAGAAUAUGCCUAUGAAGGGAAAAGUGAGAGCACUGAGUAACUGAACAGCUUGAUAUGUCAGUCAUCAGACAUCACUGUCGGUCUGUAAGGAAGGAUUUUUGCUUCCUGAUGCAACUGGUACAGCACGGACCUGAUCCCUAUAACCUCGCAAGCCAGAAACAGCUACAAGACAACAGUUGGUGGUAAACAUUUGCUUUUAUAAAAAUGUCUCAUCUAU